UGUGCAACAUAGUUGGUUAUGGCCCAUUUCACAAUUGCAUAGGCGUGGGUUCGAGCCUUAUGCAUGUGACCUUGUAAUUAUUUUUAUUAAUGCGAGUUGAUUUACCCGUUUGGAUUCGGCUCGGUAACUGGUGUUUGGACAAGUUAACUCCUUCAGUUGUAAAAGCAAUUUUAAGCUUCAGCCGAACCAGUGGCUAGUCCUGUUUUCGUUCAGAUUGGUCAGUCUAGUCUGGUUCUAACAACAAUGAAUAAAAGUUUCAAUUAGGGUCUCAAUAGG
This 276-nucleotide unclassified non-coding RNA is filed under the name Hevea brasiliensis (rubber tree). The record is from RNAcentral. Lineage: Eukaryota; Viridiplantae; Streptophyta; Magnoliopsida; Malpighiales; Euphorbiaceae.